Molecule: long non-coding RNA, 1558 nt
Organism: Apis cerana (Asiatic honeybee)
Lineage: Eukaryota; Metazoa; Arthropoda; Insecta; Hymenoptera; Apidae
Source: RefSeq, a predicted model, not a curated record
AUAUAUAUAAAUAUAUUAGAAAGAGAAUUUAAUUAAUUUGUAUGUCGACUAAGAUAUUUCUUUCAACAUGAUUGUUAACGCAGUAUUAAAUGAAUUAACCUUCAGAUGUAUACUUCGAUAGUAAUGCAUGGUCAUCAUUUACAGACUUUAUACUCCGUAGAAUUAAAAUAUCUGGCAUAAGAUAGUCCGAAUGCUAUUACUGCAAAACACUUUUGUCGAUCGACUAGAAUCGACCCUUUGAUCGGAGAACAUACCAUAGAAAGAGGUUAAGCAAUAUAAAAAAAGAUAAUGACUUUAUAGGUUAUCCGGAUUCGAUUGCAUUAAAUGUUAAAGUAUAAAGACACUGUGGAAACGUACCAAUGAACUCCAUACGAGUAGGAUAUCAGGAACAGAAAGAGCAAUCAUAUGAAUAAAUUGUUGGAAGCUACGAUUUUUCUUUACUCAUGUGCUUAUGAAUAAAAUAAGAAACGUCUAUUUCAUUUCUUUAUUUAUCAGAGUAAAUGCUAUUAGAUUUAAUAUUUAUAUUUAAAAACUACAUUUAUUUUAUAAUUCAUAAAUUUUUUCUUAAAAAUUAGAAUUUUUCUUUCAUAUAGAUUGUAAAUAUAUAUAUAAAUAUAUAUAAUUGCUGUGAAAAAAUUAAUUAUAAUAAUUUGUUUUUAUAAUAAAAUUUAUAAAUACAUUUGAUUUAAUUUUAUUACUUAUUGUUAGAAAUCUAAAGAAAGUUUACGAUAAACAAAAUAAAAUCAUUAUUUAACUUAAAAAAUAAAUAUUUAUUACAUUAUUAUAGUUUAUUGUAAUAUGUAUCAACUUACUUGAAUGACAGAAAAUCAAUGAAAGAAAAAAUAAAGAGAAAAUCAUGAAGUUAAAUAUAAUCCUAUUGUUAAAUAAUCCAUUAAAUAUAAAUUAUGUAAUCCAAAAUCAAAAAUAACUACAAUCGUGGCAAAAAGAGUCUGAAAAAUGAACAUGAUUCGUAUAUACGCGGUUUACGAAUGCGUGAAGAAUAGUGGGGUGCAGUGAUGCGCGGAGCGGCCACUCCGCAGCGCUCCCCUUUCAUUAGGAACACAGAAUAAAUAAGAAAGCAUAGCUAUCAUGUAUUAUCUUGCUGAUGAAGAAUUAUACUCUUACUUUUCGUACAAUCCGUGUAUUACAUAGUAUUUUGUGAUUAAGAGCGUAGAUUGGGGACCCCAAGAACUGGCCUGCCCCACGAUAGACCGAACAAAACACGUCAUUUCUCGGGAUUGAGAUUUUUUCGCUCUAUUUAAUCAACCUUCUUUAAUAUAUGUUAAUUCUUGGAAACAAAAAUAUAAUAGAAAUAAUAAAUAUUUUUAUAUAAUAUUAUCUCAUAAUUAAUUUAUAAUAUAAAUUUGUAAUUUAAUUAUAGGAAAAUAAAAUUUAAUAAUUAUUAACAAGCGUAUUGAUGUAAUUAUAAGUAAUAUACGCAAUAAUUGUGAAAUAGAAAUGUAUAAUUAUUUAGUAAUAUUUAAAAAAAAACAUUAAUUUUAAAUAUUUCUAAAUAAACAUCAAAAUUAUAUGAAAAUAUAAAUUUUUUAUCAGAAAA